Molecule: long non-coding RNA, 195 nt
Organism: Lineus longissimus
Lineage: Eukaryota; Metazoa; Nemertea; Pilidiophora; Heteronemertea; Lineidae
Exons: 3
Source: RefSeq, a predicted model, not a curated record
UGAUUAUGACAGGCGUGCAACGGCACACAUCCACAGAGCACUCUUCAAAUCAUCUACACAGUGGUUAUCCAACUAGGAUUAUAAAGGCACACAUUGACAUAGACCACUGUUGCAAUGAACGACACAGUCGCUAUCCAAGUAGCAUUAUAGAGGUAAUUAUCAUUAUCAUACCUCAUUAGCAUGUGAACCAAUCGC